GGAUAGAGCAUUCGCCUCCUAAGCGAAGGGCCGCAGGUUCGAAUCCUGCCGGGAGCGCCA
Molecule: transfer RNA, 60 nt
Filed under: Deltaproteobacteria bacterium
Lineage: Bacteria; Pseudomonadati; Myxococcota; Myxococcia
Description: tRNA-Ser
Rfam family: tRNA
About the family: Transfer RNA (tRNA) molecules are approximately 80 nucleotides in length. Their secondary structure includes four short double-helical elements and three loops (D, anti-codon, and T loops).
Source: RNAcentral